UGGGGAAUAUUGGACAAUGGGCGAAAGCCUGAUCCAGCCAUGCCGCGUGUGUGAAGAAGGUCUUCGGAUUGUAAAGCACUUUAAGUUGGGAGGAAGGGUUGUAGAUUAAUACUCUGCAAUUUUGACGUUACCGACAGAAUAAGCACCGGCUAACUCUGUGCCAGCAGCCGCGGUAAUACAGAGGGUGCAAGCGUUAAUCGGAAUUACUGGGCGUAAAGCGCGCGUAGGUGGUUAGUUAAGUUGGAUGUGAAAUCCCCGGGCUCAACCUGGGAACUGCAUUCAAAACUGACUGACUAGAGUAUGGUAGAGGGUGGUGAAAUUUCCUGUGUAGCGGUGAAAUGCGUAGAUAUAGGAAGGAACACCAGUGGCGAAGGCGACCACCUGGACUGAUACUGACACUGAGGUGCGAAAGCGUGGGGAGCAAACA
This 427-nucleotide ribosomal RNA is filed under the name uncultured bacterium. RNAcentral describes it as "partial 16S ribosomal RNA". It matches the Rfam family "Bacterial small subunit ribosomal RNA", at positions 355 to 774 of the family's 1533-position model. The record is from RNAcentral.